AUUGAACGCUGGCGGCAGGCUUAACACAUGCAAGUCGAGCGGGGGGAGGUAGCUUGCUACCGGACCUAGCGGCGGACGGGCGAGUAAUGCUUAGGAAUCUGCCUAUUAGUGGGGGACAACAUCUCGAAAGGGAUGCUAAUACCGCAUACGUCCUACGGGAGAAAGCAGGGGAUCUUCGGACCUUGCGCUAAUAGAUGAGCCUAAGUCGGAUUAGCUAGUUGGUGGGGUAAAGGCCUACCAAGGCGACGAUCUGUAGCGGGUCUGAGAGGAUGAUCGGCCACACUGGGACUGAGACACGGCCCAGACUCCUACGGGAGGCAGCAGUGGGGAAUAUUGGACAAUGGGGGGAACCCUGAUCCAGCCAUGCCGCGUGUGUGAAGAAGGCCUUAUGGUUGUAAAGCACUUUAAGCGAGGAGGAGGCUACUUUAGUUAAUACCUAGAGAUAGUGGACGUUACUCGCAGAAUAAGCACCGGCUAACUCUGUGCCAGCAGCCGCCGUAA
RNAcentral lists this ribosomal RNA (501 nucleotides) under uncultured bacterium. RNAcentral's name for it is "partial 16S ribosomal RNA". It matches the Rfam family "Bacterial small subunit ribosomal RNA", at positions 30 to 523 of the family's 1533-position model. The record is from RNAcentral.